Molecule: unclassified non-coding RNA, 87 nt
Filed under: Pseudomonas palleroniana
Lineage: Bacteria; Pseudomonadati; Pseudomonadota; Gammaproteobacteria; Pseudomonadales; Pseudomonadaceae
Source: RNAcentral
GUGGAAGGGGGCUUGCUCCCGAUGGCAGAGUGUCAGUCACUGAAUGGGUAACUGAACUAUCGCUAUCGGGAGCAAGCCCCCUCCCAC